RNAcentral lists this long non-coding RNA (2537 nucleotides) under Malus domestica (apple). RNAcentral describes it as "long non-coding RNA (MDOM_LNC016988)". The record is from RNAcentral. Lineage: Eukaryota; Viridiplantae; Streptophyta; Magnoliopsida; Rosales; Rosaceae.
AGUUAACUAAGUCGCAUAAAUAUGCGUCUAUCAAAUUCCCCCACACUUAGCUUUUGCUAGUCCUCGAGCAAAAUAAAACAAACAAAACAUAACCUAACCUUCCAACAUUUGCUACAGGGAUUUCCAACGAUACAUAACAUGCCAUAGAUCAUUAUUCCCACAGAUUUUAGUCAUCCCUACUCUUGCGCAUAUACUUAAUCAUAGUUACCAUUCACUAGCUCACAUUUAAUCGUUUAAAACAACAUUAUGGACGUAGUAACAUGCCUUAGAGAAUCCACUCAAUUCCUUACUGGAUACACUCUUAUUUUCACACAGAUUUUCUAACUACUCUCCCUAUACUAAGUAUAUGUGAGAAGAUUGAUGUAAACAUGGAAACGAACACUCACACAUGUUAUAAAAGAAGCAAUUUUCUGGAAUGAUUAAGCAUUUAUAGAUAUGAUCUCAUGAAUGGAACGCUACUACUUAGAGAUGCGAGAACCAGGGACACCAUAUGCUCAAACCAAUCCCAAACUCCACAUAUUGAAAUACAUAACACUCAAGAUAGAAGUUAAGGGUUGUAACGGGGCUUGGGGAAUGGUUAACAAAGAAAGGAUAGGGAAAACAAACGUUCUUCAAGCAUUAGUAAGCAAAGUAGUAAAUUUGAGACUUAGAAUUCACUUAGAUUGCAGAAAUUAACUUUAAAACACAAAGGGAAGAUUUAAACAACUUCUUAGGGCCGAAUUCAUUGUUUUGGACCCUUUCUUCAACAAACAAUAUUUUGGAACUCUUUUUUUUUUUUUUUUUUUUUUUUUUACUCGUGCCUAUGGCACACAAACUCACAUGAUAAACACUUCCCCCACACUUAUUUUCUGCCCACAUUAAUCAAAAGGAAUUCAAUUUGAAUCAUGCUUACUAUACUUUAAGAACGAGGGUAUGGAUAGUCCUAAUCUAGGCUAGGUGAGGAUGAUGUGGGUUAACAAAGAAAAGGCUAAACAAGGUUCAAUGGGGUUAAAUUUAAACACAUAAUGAAAUAGGAUACACGAAAAUUUGGCUUUGGUGGUGGUCACUACACAACUUCAUCUUGAAUAUGUGUUAUGCAAAUCAAUAGCAUGCUUUGAAUGAAAUGGGCAUGAGUUCUAGCAUUUGGAACUACAUGAUAAAACGCCUUCUAAGUAGUAACCAAUCAAAUAAUAAUGAGAUCAUGCAACGACUUUAGAAGACAACAAAUGCACAGAUUAUUAACUCUCCAAAGAACGUUAAAAGCUCAAGUCUCUCAGGGUUGUAGCGUUAGUUUGAGUUUCUUCCUUCAAGCAUGUUACAAAAACUAAUUUUUCUUUUGACUACAUGUGAAUUCAUGAACUAUAAUUACAACUAAGCAUAAACCAAAGAGCAUGUCAAACUUUCAUCCAUGUUUGUAACUUACUUCAACAGUUAUGCAAUUACAAACCGAAUCCUCAUUAUUGUGUUGGAAGGUACCCUAAGACGCAAACAAACACACAAAAACAACCCUUUUUGGGUUUUUAAAACAAAUUUUUCAAAUUUUUAUGUGAUUUUCGGAUUUUUACUUCAAAACACACUAAAACACAUCAAAACAACUUAAAAACACUUAAAAACAGCAAGGAACAAGUCUUUAAGUUAAGGGUGAUAAAAUCCCACGAAUUUGCAUCAAAAACACUUAGUUACCCCCCCACACUUAAAUCAAACAUUGUCCUCAAUGUUUCAAGCAUAAAAUCACACUAAACAAAAAGAAACACACAAACAGCAACUACAACAACUAAAUAGGCAGAUUAGAAAGAUUCAACAAAGAGAAGGGUUUAGGAGUGCAAAUCUGGAAUUGGAGUGAUUCCUCGAGCUUCCUUUGUUGAAUUGCAUGGGUUGCCUCCCAAGUAGCGCUUGCUUUAACGUCGUACAGCCGGACGAAACUCACAAUCAUGCCCUAUGAGUUCCCCCAACAUGGAGUGGGUUUUCAUCCUCUAACUCUAUGAAUGGAAGCGGAUAGUAAUUCUCCUUGAUUGGGCCAUUGAGGAUCCUACAAUCCAUGUGAAUUCUCCCACCAUCCGGGAUAUGCUUGGGUACCUGCACCAAAGAAGGAAACCACCUAUCAACUUUAAUGGGCGUUGGAUUUGGACACACAAAUUAAACCCUCUUUUUGACAAUUGUAGUAUGGAUGUAAGUAGGGUAUCGUUCUAGGCCGGGGAUUAGGAGGGAUUGCUAAUCUAUUCUCAAUUAAUUUAAAAAUAUUAAAUAAGACUCAAGGACACAAAACUAGGCUAAAAACUCUAAUAACUCGAAACACACUUAAAAUGACUCAAAAUAAUGAAAACAAUUAAUUUAAACACUAGGAACUGAAAUGGACGGAAAUUAAAUUAAAAGACUAACAAUAAAGAAAACUAACUAAAUAAAAUAAUUUAAUAAUGGAUGGGUGUUUGGUUUUGAUGAAAAGUAAAUUAAACUUAAUUAAAUUACAGAAUUGACAAAAACAUGAAAUUAAGGUGAAAUGAUAGGUGACAGACUAGCUAGAGGGUUCUUCUCCACACAUGACACAUAUGCAACCUAAA